UACGUAGGGGGCUAGCGUUGUCCGGAAUCAUUGGGCGUAAAGCGCGUGUAGGCGGUCCGGUAAGUCCGCUGUGAAAGUCGGGGGCUCAACCCUCGGAUGCCGGUGGAUACUGUCGGGCUUGAGUACGGAAGAGGCGAGUGGAAUUCCUGGUGUAGCGGUGAAAUGCGCAGAUAUCAGGAGGAACACCAAUUGCGAAGGCAGCUCGAUGGGACGUUACUGACGCUGAGACGCGAAAGCGUGGGGAGCAAACAGG
This 253-nucleotide ribosomal RNA is filed under the name uncultured bacterium. Its description in RNAcentral is "partial 16S ribosomal RNA". It matches the Rfam family "Bacterial small subunit ribosomal RNA", at positions 524 to 776 of the family's 1533-position model. The record is from RNAcentral.